This 906-nucleotide ribosomal RNA is filed under the name Triticum aestivum (bread wheat). RNAcentral's name for it is "partial small subunit ribosomal RNA". The record is from RNAcentral. Lineage: Eukaryota; Viridiplantae; Streptophyta; Magnoliopsida; Poales; Poaceae.
AUGGCGAGUUUCUCAGUAAGUCUGCUUAACCGCCUUUCUGGCGGGAUAGAUUAUAACUGGAUUUCACGACCACCUCGAGGUCGUUCUGGGGGCAUUUUACUCGGCGUUAACACAGAGACUAUGGAUGUUCUGGCUAGUUCGGAAGGAGAGUUUCAUAUUAAACUCCAUAACCAAAACAAAGCUGACAACUUCACAUGGACCCUCGUCGCCGUGUAUGUGGCAGCCCAGGAUGAACUCAAGGCCGUUUUUCUCCGUGAGCUAGUUAAUCUAGCGAAAGAUAAUCCCUACCCCAUUCUUAUUGGUGUGGAUUUUAAUUUGCUACGAUUUCCAAAUGAGAAAAGCCGAGGUAGGUUUGAUAAUCACUGGCCUUUCCUUUUCAACGCUGUCAUAAACAGUCUUGAUUUGCGAGAGGUUUCCAUGAUUGGAAGACAAUUCACUUGGGCGAACAAUCUUCCGGAGCCGACAUAUGAGAAACUAGAUCGCGUUUUAAUGGAUACCGACUGGGAAUCCAAAUUCCCUAUGGUUUCUGUUCGCGCUCUUCCUCGUAUAGAGGCUAUCUCAGACCAUGCACCCAUCCUCUUAACCACUGGAUCGCCACGACCACAACACUGAUGCAAGUUCAAGUUCGAACUGGGUUGGUUGCAUCGAGAUGGAUUCUAUGAAAUGGUCAAGGAGGUGUGGGAUAAACCGGUUGCCGGGCCUACCCCAAUACACAAAUGGAACAACAAAAUGUGUGCAUUACGUAAGUUCCUUCGUGGUUGGGCUAGGCACACUGCGGGUAUUCUCAAAAAGGAGAAGCUUCGUCUUUCAUCCAUUAUUGAUGAUUUAGAAGCUUUGGCAGAGAUUAGAGCUUUCUCUGACCUCGAAUUAGAGAUCAAGAGUCAAUUGAAUGCCCAGUUAGCCUAG